GAGAGUCGAGUUCAGAGCUCCUCAAAGGAGGUCCCUUUUAGCAUUCGGGAUGAGAAGUCAAGAUUGGUUUUCAAAUAACAAGGGAUGCAAUGAUGAAGGUGAUCCACAGGUUGUUUUCAAUGUUUUGGAUGCAAUGCUUAAUGGUAGUUUGGAGCGCUUGAAAUCAAUGAGGGAAGGCAUAUCAUCUAUUAAAGCAGGCCUUAUAG
RNAcentral lists this unclassified non-coding RNA (206 nucleotides) under Hevea brasiliensis (rubber tree). The record is from RNAcentral. Lineage: Eukaryota; Viridiplantae; Streptophyta; Magnoliopsida; Malpighiales; Euphorbiaceae.